UGAGGAGGAGGAGGAGGAUGCUGGCGGUGAUGCUGUUGCUAUGGUUACCCAACUCGGCGGCGCGGAGCUGCUCGGCGCAACAGCUGCCCCAGCACCCAGAUCUCCUCCUCGGCACCCACCGAAGGGCCCUGGGUGGACGGGCACAGGGAGGGGGGGGUCACCCCAAAGCCCUUCCAGAGGGAGGAUGGAGGGACCUGAAAACAAGAAAGGAAAGAAUCCAAGGUGGAUUGGCUGCCACAGGAUCGAAAUGUGGAGUCCUAACUGAGAGAGACAUGUGAAAUCAAGGCAUUCAGUUGCCAUUUAUCUAUCAAAUACGCAUGUCACGAGGCUCUGAUUUUGCACUGGAACAUCACAAGAUGCAGCAAGGUCACAACAAUCAAAUGUCACUUCCAUCCAAAAAUGUCAGUGCAAAGCUGCGUAACAUUCAUAUGCCAUGACAGUUCUUUCCAGAGCUGGUACUGUGUGCAGGACGUUGUGAUACCCUGUCUAAAACCUACUGAAAAAGAAAAAUCACUGGUGGAAACUUUCUAAAGGGAUUUGCUUCCCACUGUCAGGGCUUUACUUGCAGCCUGGAUGCCACAGAGGAUAUUAACCUUUGAGUCUGAGGCACCAAGAAGAUGCACUGGGUAGUAUUUCCUAUUAAAUUAUCCUGGAGAAGGAGUUCCAGGAGAUGUGCUGGCAGCACCUCUCCCCAAGGUAUUCUAGAAGACAGUGUCUCCAAACCAUGUUCAUUUGAAGAUUCAUAAUGUGGUUCAUAUAAAGGCAUUUUCUAUAUAUCUCCUUGCUAUAGGAGAACCUGGAACCACCCAUCUGAGGAGCAAAACACACCAGCCAGCAUUCAUUAAAUCAGACUUCCUUGGAAUAGCUUUCCAUUUCCCUGUCUUUAUAUAUCUUAUAAAAGUAAUUGCUAUAUGCACCAUUGCUGCUAUAGGGUUUUUAAUUAAUAAUUUUAAUAUUAAUUUAGGCAGCAAUUCUGAUUCCCACUCAGAGACUAUAUGCAAUAGUUGUCUCAGAGGGCUUUUCUACCACUCAGAAAAUGAAAGAAAAAAAUGUUAUCUGUUUUAACCGUUAAAAAUGGUAUACAUGUAAAAUUAUACGGUAUUCUGAACCUGAAAAAU
Molecule: long non-coding RNA, 1118 nt
Filed under: Anas platyrhynchos platyrhynchos (common mallard)
Lineage: Eukaryota; Metazoa; Chordata; Aves; Anseriformes; Anatidae
Description: lncRNA (ENSAPLG00000024620.1)
Source: RNAcentral